Molecule: ribosomal RNA, 290 nt
Filed under: uncultured bacterium
Lineage: Bacteria
Description: partial 16S ribosomal RNA
Rfam family: Bacterial small subunit ribosomal RNA
Source: RNAcentral
UGGCUCAGAACGAACGCUGGCGGCGUGCUUAACACAUGCAAGUCGAGCGAUGAAGCACCUUCGGGUGUGGAUUAGCGGCGAACGGGUGAGGAACACGUGAGGAAUCUGCCUUCCACUCUGGGAUAACUCCGGGAAACCGGGGCUAAUACCGGAUACUUUCAACUGGCGGCAUCGCCGGUUGAAGAAAGUUUUUCGGUGGAAGAUGACCUCGCGGCCUAUCAGCUUGUUGGUGAGGUAAUGGCUCACCAGAGAAACGACGGGUAGCCGGCCUGAGAGGGCGACCGGCCACA